GUAGGUGGCAAGCGUUGUCCGGAAUUAUUGGGCGUAAAGCGCGCGCAGGCGGUUCUUUAAGUCUGAUGUGAAAGCCCACGGCUCAACCGUGGAGGGUCAUUGGAAACUGGAGAACUUGAGUACAGAAGAGGAAGCGGAAUUCCACGUGUAGCGGUGAAAUGCGUAGAGAUGUGGAGGAACACCAGUGGCGAAGGCGGCUUUCUGGUCUGUAACUGACGCUGAGGCGCGAAAGCGUGGGGAGCAAACAGGAUUAGAUACCCUGGUAGUCCACGCCGUAAACGAUGAGUGCUAAGUGUUAGGGGGUUUCCGCCCCCCUUAGUGCUGCAGCUAACGCAUUAAGCACUCCGCCUGGGAGUACGGCCGCAAGGCUG
RNAcentral lists this ribosomal RNA (371 nucleotides) under uncultured organism. RNAcentral's name for it is "partial 16S ribosomal RNA". It matches the Rfam family "Bacterial small subunit ribosomal RNA", at positions 527 to 896 of the family's 1533-position model. The record is from RNAcentral.